RNAcentral lists this ribosomal RNA (254 nucleotides) under uncultured bacterium. RNAcentral describes it as "partial 16S ribosomal RNA". It matches the Rfam family "Bacterial small subunit ribosomal RNA", at positions 524 to 776 of the family's 1533-position model. The record is from RNAcentral.
UACGUAGGGCGCAAGCGUUGUUCGGAAUCACUGGGCGUAAAGCGCACGCAGGCGGAUCGUUAAGUCAGGGGUGAAAUCCCGAGGCUCAACCUCGGAACUGCCUUUGAUACUGGCGAUCUUUGAGUCCGGGAGAGGUGAGUGGAACUCCGAGUGUAGAGGUGAAAUUCGUAGAUAUUCGGAAGAACACCAGUGGCGAAGGCGGCUCACUGGCCCGGUACUGACGCUCAUGUGCGAAAGCGUGGGGAGCAAACAGG